RNAcentral lists this small RNA (27 nucleotides) under Bombyx mori (domestic silkworm). RNAcentral's name for it is "ovarian small RNA-17384". Lineage: Eukaryota; Metazoa; Arthropoda; Insecta; Lepidoptera; Bombycidae. The record is from RNAcentral.
GGCAUAACUUGAUGGUUUGGGUGUUGA